UACGAAGGGGGCGAGCGUUGUUCGGAUUUACUGGGCGUAAAGGGCGCGCAGGCGGCUUAUUUUGUCAGGCGUGAAAGCCCCGGGCUUAACCUGGGAACUGCGUUUGAUACGGAUGGGCUAGAGUUCGGGAGAGGAGAGUGGAAUUCCCAGUGUAGAGGUGAAAUUCGUAGAUAUCAGGAGGAACACCGAUGGCGAAGGCAGGUCUCUGGGCCAUAACUGACGCUGAGAAGCGAAAGCAUGGGGAGCGAACAGG
Molecule: ribosomal RNA, 253 nt
Filed under: uncultured bacterium
Lineage: Bacteria
Description: partial 16S ribosomal RNA
Rfam family: Bacterial small subunit ribosomal RNA
Source: RNAcentral